UGCAGUCGAACGAUGAUGCCCAGCUUGCUGGGUGGAUUAGUGGCGAACGGGUGAGUAACACGUGAGUAACCUGCCCCUGACUCUGGGAUAAGCGUUGGAAACGACGUCUAAUACUGGAUAUGACUGCCGGCCGCAUGGUCUGGUGGUGGAAAGAUUUUUUGGUUGGGGAUGGACUCGCGGCCUAUCAGCUUGUUGGUGAGGUAAUGGCUCACCAAGGCGACGACGGGUAGCCGGCCUGAGAGGGUGACCGGCCACACUGGGACUGAGACACGGCCCAGACUCCUACGGGAGGCAGCAGUGGGGAAUAUUGCACAAUGGGCGAAAGCCUGAUGCAGCAACGCCGCGUGAGGGAUGACGGCCUUCGGGUUGUAAACCUCUUUUAGUAGGGAAGAAGCGAAAGUGACGGUACCUGCAGAAAAAGCACCGGCUAACUACGUGCCAGCAGCCGCGGUAAUACGUAGGGUGCAAGCGUUGUCCGGAAUUAUUGGGCGUAAAGAGCUCGUAGGCGGUUUGUCGCGUCUGCUGUGAAAUCCCGAGGCUCAACCUCGGGCUUGCAGUGGGUACGGGCAGACUAGAGUGCGGUAGGGG
Molecule: ribosomal RNA, 588 nt
Filed under: bacterium 74-L049616-122-011-B10
Lineage: Bacteria
Description: bacterial SSU rRNA
Rfam family: Bacterial small subunit ribosomal RNA
Source: RNAcentral